UACGUAGGGUGCAAGCGUUAAUCGGAAUUACUGGGCGUAAAGCGUGCGCAGGCGGUUUUGUAAGUCUGUCGUGAAAGCCCCGGGCUCAACCUGGGAAUUGCGAUGGAGACUGCAAGGGUUGAAUCUGGCAGAGGGGGGUAGAAUUCCACGUGUAGCAGUGAAAUGCGUAGAGAUGUGGAGGAACACCGAUGGCGAAGGCAGCCCCCUGGGUCAAGAUUGACGCUCAUGCACGAAAGCGUGGGGAGCAAACAGG
This 253-nucleotide ribosomal RNA is filed under the name uncultured bacterium. RNAcentral describes it as "partial 16S ribosomal RNA". It matches the Rfam family "Bacterial small subunit ribosomal RNA", at positions 524 to 776 of the family's 1533-position model. The record is from RNAcentral.